Molecule: ribosomal RNA, 252 nt
Filed under: uncultured bacterium
Lineage: Bacteria
Description: partial 16S ribosomal RNA
Rfam family: Bacterial small subunit ribosomal RNA
Source: RNAcentral
UACGGAGGGUGCAAGCGUUGUCCGGAUUUAUUGGGUUUAAAGGGUGCGUAGGCGCCUAAUAAGUCAGUGGUGAAAGCCUCCAGCUUAACUGGAGAACUGCCAUUGAUACUGUUAGGCUUGAGUAUACUUGAGGUAGGCGGAAUUGACAGUGUAGCGGUGAAAUGCAUAGAUAUUGUCAAGAACACCAAUUGCGAAGGCAGCUUACUAAAUUAUAACUGACGCUGAGGCACGAAAGUGUGGUAGUGAAACAGG